RNAcentral lists this ribosomal RNA (497 nucleotides) under uncultured bacterium. RNAcentral describes it as "partial 16S ribosomal RNA". It matches the Rfam family "Bacterial small subunit ribosomal RNA", at positions 28 to 507 of the family's 1533-position model. The record is from RNAcentral.
GAUGCACGCUGGCGGCGUGCCUAAUACAUGCAAGUCGAGCGAACGGACGAGAAGCUUGCUUCUCUGAUGUUAGCGGCGGACGGGUGAGUAACACGUGGAUAACCUACCUAUAAGACUGGGAUAACUUCGGGAAACCGGAGCUAAUACCGGAUGAUAUUUUGAACCGCAUGGUUCAAAAGUGAAGGACGGUCUUGCUGUCACUUAUAGAUGGAUCCGCGCUGCAUUAGCUAGUUGGUAAGGUAACGGCUUACCAAGGCAACGAUGCAUAGCCGACCUGAGAGGGUGAUCGGCCACACUGGAACUGAGACACGGUCCAGACUCCUACGGGAGGCAGCAGUAGGGAAUCUUCCGCAAUGGGCGAAAGCCUGACGGAGCAACGCCGCGUGAGUGAUGAAGGUCUUCGGAUCGUAAAACUCUGUUAUUAGGGAAGAACAUAUGUGUAAGUAACUGUGCACAUCUUGACGGUACCUAAUCAGAAAGCCACGGCUAACUACGUG